This 791-nucleotide ribosomal RNA is filed under the name uncultured bacterium. RNAcentral's name for it is "bacterial SSU rRNA". It matches the Rfam family "Bacterial small subunit ribosomal RNA", at positions 8 to 796 of the family's 1533-position model. The record is from RNAcentral.
AGAGUUUGAUCAUGGCUCAGAUUGAACGCUGGCGGCAUGCCUUACACAUGCAAGUCGAGCGGCAGCGCGGGGGCAACCCUGGCGGCGAGCGGCGAACGGGUGAGUAAUGCAUCGGAACGUGUCCUCUUGUGGGGGAUAACCAGUCGAAAGACUGGCUAAUACCGCAUGAGAUCGAGAGAUGAAAGCAGGGGACCGCAAGGCCUUGCGCGAGAGGAGCGGCCGAUGCCGGAUUAGCUAGUUGGUGGGGUAACGGCCUACCAAGGCGACGAUCCGUAGCUGGUCUGAGAGGACGACCAGCCACACUGGGACUGAGACACGGCCCAGACUCCUACGGGAGGCAGCAGUGGGGAAUUUUGGACAAUGGGGGCAACCCUGAUCCAGCCAUGCCGCGUGUGUGAAGAAGGCCUUCGGGUUGUAAAGCACUUUCGGACGGAACGAAAUCGCGCGAGUUAAUAGUUCGCGUGGAUGACGGUACCGUAAGAAGAAGCACCGGCUAACUACGUGCCAGCAGCCGCGGUAAUACGUAGGGUGCGAGCGUUAAUCAGAAUUACUGGGCGUAAAGUGUGCGCAGGCGGCGCUGCAAGUCGAGUGUGAAAUCCCCGAGCUUAACUUGGGAAUUGCGCUCGAAACUACGGCGCUGGAGUAUGGCAGAGGAAGGUGGAAUUCCACGUAGCGGUGAAAUGCGUAGAGAUGUGGAGGAACACCGAUGGCGAAGGCAGCCUUCUGGGCCAAUACUGACGCUCAUGCACGAAAGCGUGGGGAGCAAACAGGAUUAGAUACCCUAGUAGUCC